Molecule: ribosomal RNA, 424 nt
Filed under: uncultured bacterium
Lineage: Bacteria
Description: partial 16S ribosomal RNA
Rfam family: Bacterial small subunit ribosomal RNA
Source: RNAcentral
AAUUUUUUACGAUGGGGGCAACCCUGAUCCAGCCAUCCCGCGUGUUCGUUGUAGGCAUUCGGGUUGGAAAGCACUUUUGGCAGGGAAGUAAAGGCUCUGGUUAAUACCUGGAGCUGCUGACGGAACCUUCAGAAUAAGCACCGGCUAACUACGUGCCACCAGCAGCGGUAAUACUUACGGUGCAAGCAUUAAUCGGAACGACUGGGCGUAAAGCGUGUGUAGUAGGUUCGGAAAGAAAGAUGAGGAGUCCCAGGGAUCAACCUUGGAACUGCAUUUUUAACUACCGAGCUAGAGUAGGGCAGAGGGGGGUAGAAUUACACGUGUUGCAGUGAAAUGCGUAGAUAUGUGGAGGAAUACCGAUGGCGAAGGCAGCCCCCUGGGAUAAUACUGACGCUCAGACACGAAAACGUGGGGAGCAAGCAGG